Molecule: ribosomal RNA, 429 nt
Filed under: Acidobacteriota bacterium
Lineage: Bacteria; Pseudomonadati; Acidobacteriota
Description: Acidobacteria bacterium partial 16S ribosomal RNA
Rfam family: Bacterial small subunit ribosomal RNA
Source: RNAcentral
UGGGGAAUUUUGGACAAUGGGGGAAACCCUGAUCCAGCCAUCCCGCGUGUGCGAUGAAGGCCUUCGGGUUGUAAAGCACUUUUGGCAGGAAAGAAACGUCAUGGGUUAAUACCCCGUGAAACUGACGGUACCUGCAGAAUAAGCACCGGCUAACUACGUGCCAGCAGCCGCGGUAAUACGUAGGGUGCAAGCGUUAAUCGGAAUUACUGGGCGUAAAGCGUGCGCAGGCGGUUCGGAAAGAAAGAUGUGAAAUCCCAGAGCUCAACUUUGGAACUGCAUUUUUAACUACCGGUCUAGAGUGUGGCAGAGGGAGGUGGAAUUCCGCGUGUAGCAGUGAAAUGCGUAGAUAUGCGGAGGAACACCGAUGGCGAAGGCAGCCUCCUGGGAUAACACUGACGCUCAUGCACGAAAGCGUGGGGAGCAAACAGG